ACUUUAUAAAAGACAUUGACUAAGAAGAAAAUGAUUUUUGUCUUUUUGAUAAACUCUAUGGAAAUAAAUACCGGAUGGUAGUAUUUUAUUUGUAUCAGUAAAAGCACGAACUUGUUAGCUUCCGAAAUGGCAUGGCAUUGACAUUAUGGCCACAGGAGAUUCAGCAUCUCAUCUUUGUGAUACAAAACUGCACGCCGUUUUAAUUGUGAAAAUUGUACUGAAGGAUAAUUAUUUGGCAUUUAGAACACUUUUUUUUUUUCCCAUGCAGCCAGGGGCUUCUAAUGAGAAUUGUCAAAUAAACAGAUCAUUAGGUUAGGAUUAAGGCUGUCAACACAGACAAACUACUAAGUGAAUGAUGUUUGAUGGAAUGGGACCCACGUCUUUUGCAGCGGUUAACAAAUAUUGAAUUUAAUUGAAGACAUUUGAGAAAUUGCAAAAAAAAAAAAAACAAAAAAACCUUCAUAAAAUGCUUUAACUUGGGAGGAGGUGAGCUCAGACAUUAUACUUUUAGUUUCCUUUUGUAAGAGUCACCUCUUUUAGCAUCACUUAAAAGAACACAACACAUCUUUUAAAUCUUUAACAUGUAUUUUUAAAAAUCUGGAAAACAGAGGUAAAUUAUCCACUUUUUGAUUACUCAAAUCUAGCUAAUGCUAGCAUUUAGUGUUUUAUUUUUCACAUUUCUUUUCCAAUGUAUCAGUUUUACUUUAAAUAUAUUUUCUUCCCUCUUAUGUCAGUUUGUGUAUUGAUUCAUUUUGUUUAGCAAAUGUAUUUCUAAAUAGUUUCAUAGACUUCAGUUAUUGUAAUAACCCAAGGACUAUAUCAAUAUAUACUGAAAUUUGGUCUUCAUUUACUAUGUUUCCAACAUUAAGUUAUUAAAAACAUCACUGAAUUGAUUACUUAGUUGUAUAAAGCUUUUUCCAUAUUUUGGAUUAUGUUCUUAGGAUUAAUCCCCAAAAGGGAACAUCCGAGUCCAAAUUUUAGUACUUUAAAGCACUUGUUAUAUAUUUUCAAACUCUAUAGAAAGAAACUGGAUAUAUUAUAAAUACUGAAAUAUCUCUUUCUCCUCAAGAAGUCUUGUCUCUUACAUUUAAUAAUAGAAGCAGGAGUUCCCGUCAUGGCUCAGCAGUUAAUGAACUCAACUAGGACCCAUGAAGAUUUGGGUUUGAUCUCUGGCCUCACUCCGUGCUUUAAGGGUCCGGUGUUGCUGUGAGCUGUGGUGUAAGUUGCCAACACGGCUCAGAUACUGCAUUGCUGUGGCUGUGGUGAAGGCUGGCAGCUGUAGCUCCAAUUUGAUCCCUAGCCUGGGAACUUCCAUAUGCCAUGGGUGUGGCGCUAAAAAGGGUGUGGCGGGGGAGAAGAAGCAAAUGUGAUAAAUUGCUAAAGACUUUUUUUUCUGUGUUACUACUCUGUUCAAAGCAGUUUAUAUGGCAUUUCAAAAGCUCUACUGUAGAAAAAUCGUGACAUGGCAAUUUUGGACGACCUUUCCCCCAGAAGUGGUCACAUUGAGGACGAUAUGGAUCGUUUUUUCUUUCCUUAUCCUGCAGAGGAUGGAACUGGUUCCAAAGCAAGGACCUCCCUGGAAUGAGAGAUCAACUAGGUGUGAAAAAGCAUCCCAAAGCCUCUGGACUCACUGCCAAUGCAAUUAGCUGCUACGAAAUUUGGGUAGGGAGUGUCGUGUUUCUGGAAGUGUCCAGAGGGAGCUUGGAUGAGCAAUUCUUGGAAAGAUUUUUAAAGGUUAGUUGGUUAGUCCAACCAGAUGUAAUGUGAACUCAUUCUUUGUUCAAAAAUUGAUUCUACAACAUGCUGACACCACACUGUCAAUCUUGUACAAAGCUCAAGUAACCCAUUAAAUAAUUUGAAAACUAGUACAUUUCCAAAGAGACCAUCAACUGAAUUUUAAUUAAUUUAUUUCAUCCUCAUCCUCCAUUAAGAAUGAGUAAAAUUAACAGCAUAGUAGCUUGAUUUUUUUGUUUUUUGUUUCUUUUGCUAGCUUGAGUUUAAUUUAGUCCCUCCUUGGGUCUCUUUACUGUUUCAUAUGGAGCAUGCAAAUGAGUGAGGUCGGAAGAGACAGCAGGUGCAGAUGCAAACAUCUGCAUGAGCUGCAUACAGGGUUAGGAAUUGGGGUGCAAAUGCAAAAUAAGUUGGGAGCUCAAGGAAGUGUUCCUGAGACAAGGCGAGUUAUCCAAGACCAUUCUAACAAAGCCACUCCUUGUUUAUUAAUCUGGAAAGUGAACCCCAUUAUCCCCUCACUUCCUUGGCCAACACACUGUCUCGUUUUUUUAUUGACUCACCUUCUUAUUCUGCCCCUCACAGCUUGCCCCAAGAACUUGCUGGACUCUCAUGCCAUACGAGAGACCCUCAAAGGACACUGGAUAUUUACCUUGAAGAAAAGAAAACUCUGCUGGGAGAGAGGGGUGGUUAAGAAACACUAACCCAUUUGAUAAUUUUGUGAGUACAGGGGAGCUGAGCUAUUGCUGUGUAUUCCUAUGGAGAAAUAAAUAGUAAUAGAAAUUACCGAAGCACAUUCUAAUGGAAAGGGCUAGCCAGAUAGAGAAUAUGCCUCUGAAGAGGUAAUGAGGUUGAAGUGACUAUUGUAACUUUCUGGAAAUGAACUAGAUGUUGUGUAGUAAAUAGGGGGAAGUAGGUCAAUUCGAUCCAUUAGAUUUUAUAAAAUUAUAUGAUGCAGAAGCAAAGAGGGAGCUAUUGAAUUUUAGCUGCUAUUAUGGAAGGCUAGGACUGGACUACAAUGAUGUGACCCACAAUCACAGUAAUUGUUCAGGUGGACUUUGUAAAUGAGCUGAAAUCAUUCUUUUGAAAAUAACUCUUCAAAGUGAGAAGAUUUCUCCAAUCCACAUUUUCUAGUCUGCUUGGCUGUCCCCUCUGGGCUCAGUCAAAGAAACCCAUGCAGUGGAAGUAUGUUUAGCAAUUGGGCCUGUUCCCAGGUUGCGAGACAUUUAGCAAAAAUCCAGAGUUAUUAUUAGAUCUAAAUGGAGGCUUUUGUCAAAAGGCCUCUUGAACUGUUAGGAAAUCAGAGUGCAAAUUGAUAAUGACACACAACACAUCCCUGCCCUGGCAGCUCCCCGAAGGCUGCUGAGAUACCCCAGAAAGAACUUGCAUGGCCUCAUGCCAACAGCGUGUUGCUCAACCCUCGUCCUUCUCCUAAGUCGGCUUGACAACUGCAUUCUUCUCUUCCUUGUAAGAGGCAGAAGGAGAUGGAUUAAAGAGGAUGUUUGAACUGAGACUAUUAAUUUCCUUGCAGUGUGUAUUCAAGUCAGAUCCCUUUAGAAGAGCCUUUUGUGGUUUCAUAAAAUUACAACUUUGGCUAUUCGGCUGCCUUUUCCAAAGUACAAAUUUGGCUUCUAAAGAAAACACACUUCAUAGGAAAAAAGGAAAGAAAUGAGUACGUAGUUAUCUUUAAAUAUAUUCAUUUUAUAUAAUCGUUCUGUUACGCAAAGAAACAAUUACAGUAUUAACUACUUAUUAAUAAAAGAAAUCAUAAAACAUAGUGUCUUCAUAAACCCUUUCAGGUUUUCAUGAGUUUUAUUUGAAAGAAGUUAAUAAAACAGAUUUUUUUUUUUUCCUUAGAGUUUAUGAAUGGAAAAAUACUUUUUUAAACUAUCGGGCUUAAAAAUGAAUGUUCCUCCUCUUUCUAAGACUGUGGCAAUACUUUUUACCUUUUCAAGGGACAGGUGAGCAGUCAUUUCAUGGGUGAAGGGUGUGUGUGCGAUGUCUUGCAGAGAAAUUGCAGCAUGGAUUCCUUCCCCUCCUCUUUCUAGCCCCGGCCUCUCUGGCUUCCUCUAACUGUGCCUUACACUGGAGUGCACAGGGAUGCGGCUCACUUAGCAUCUACGUUAUUUCGAUUCUUCUUGCCAGCCCCUGUUUCUCUGGGCCAAGCUCUAGCCCAGCACCUCACACGUGGCAGGAAGUCUGUUUUAUUGAAUGAAUCCCUAAAUGUGAGGCCUGGAAGAGGAGAGAUUCUUUUCUCUGCUCUGCGGGUUAGACAAACUUUGGUUGGUUGGAACUCAUAGAAAACAAAACCCAAUUUAGCUACCACUCCCUGGAGAAAGGCAGCUUGAGAUUUAGGAGUCACCUCCAGGGCUUGGGGAUGAAGUUCAGACACUAAAGCGUCGGGGAGGGGACAGAACACACUGUGAUUUUUCUUUUCAAGGGCCCCACGUAGCAUCUGCAACCCCACCUCUGGUCCUGAUGCUGUGUGACUUUGACCAAGCGCUGGUCCCCACUAGGUUUUCUCUUCUCGGGGGACCUCAGUGGUUCUCAAUCAGGGCUAUGCUUGAGAACCACCACUGGAGAUUUUUAAAACACCUAUGCCUGGGGCCCACCUCGGACCAAUACAUUCAGAAACCUAAUGGCUGUGGACCUGCUGUGUAUUUUUUAAAAAUUUGCAGGUGAUUCCAAAGUGAAGCUGGGUUUAAACUUUGGUGUCUCUCCUUUAAUAUGAUGAGGAUGAUCUGGGAUCUCGUAAAAAUGCAGAUUCUGAUUCAGCAGCUUUUGGGUGGAGCCUGCAUGUCUGCAUCUGAAGCCAGGGCUCAGGUGAUGCUGGCUGUCUCUGGUGCACCUGGACAAGGACCCAGAGCCUGGAGCUUGUAAAACCUGGGGACUUUAAGGCCUCACCUCAGGCCCACUGAAUCGCAUCCUGCAUUUGAAAUAUUCCUCGGUGAUUUGUAAUACUUCAAAGUUGUGUUUGAGAAACAACUAAAUAAUCCAUGAGAAACCUCCCCUGCCUCCACUUUAGACAGCCUCUGCUUACUUUCACCUGUUUUUCCUUCCUGUGCCCCUGUGCUCACCAUAACCCAGCAGCUGAGGCUCUUUGUACUUGCCCAGAUGUGUCCUGCGUGGCCUGACACUGCCUUUCCAACAUGACAUGGCCAUGCCCUUUAUAUGGACUAGAUCCUAACCCUUUACCCACUCCUUUCCUACCCAACCUUCAAGAUUUGGGGAUGAAGUCCUCCAGGGAAGCUGAUGUAACUAUUUCCACCCACCACCCGACUCUAACUUGGCUCCCCUGUGCUUUCUUACACUGAAAGAAAAUUACCCAUAUAUGUGCUUCGCUCCCCACCGAGGAUGUACAAUUAAUUCUGAAUUGUCAAAAACUGAGUUUUGAGGGUUUUUUUCUGAUUGAUCAAGGUGCUGGCACAGAGUAUGCACUUGUACUUUUCCGUGUGGGUUCUGAUUAGGAUGGAGAUCUUAACAGAUCUUCCACAUCAAGCUCUUCUUCCUGCCCAGAGUCUUGGCAACACACCAUGUGGCUAGAGAAACGCCAAGUGGAUUUCCCAGCUCAGCCUGGCACUAAAUCUCACUUUUUUUGUCUUGAGGACAUGUUGGGACCCCUGUAAACUCUCCAAGGCUUGAGACCCCCGCCCCCCAGAGGAAAGUGGCUUUGGUGGGCUUUCCUCUGGGACGGGAAUAGAUAGAUGAGUGAGAAAGGCAUCCACUUGCUUGAUUUCUGUGCUCCUUGUAUUUCUGACAUUUAUCAAAGCUGACAUCACUUGCCAAAGGCCAAGGGAGGAAGGAUGAAACAGAUCAUUUUCAUUUGCCUGGUGUUCUCUUAGCUGUUUCCCAGGCUGACUGAGAACAAUUUGCAUCCUGUCCAGGCCCCAUAAUUUCUGGUUGUUAAAGAAAGACACAUGGGUAUUGCCAAAGCAUCCUGAGACCUUGACUCAGUGUAGUGCGACUUGAAGGAUAUGGGAAAUGUGGGAGGGCCACUUACUUUGAUUUUCUUCGUGUGGCCCACACUGCACGUUUCCUGGAAGAGGACACUGAGCCUGCAUUUGCUCUCAAUCUAAUGUUGGAUUCAAAUUAUGAAUAUCUAUCAAAUUCAGUGAAUAUCUGUGAGGUGUCCUCUGUGUGGCAGACUCUUUGCUGAUGUUGGGGAGGGUGACUGUGAUGCAUCACAGAUUUUACCUUCAAGGCGAUGCUGGAUGUAGAUACAAAGGACCAUGCUGCUAAGCGUUUUCUUGAGGAAUACGGUGCCGUAAGAAUACAGAAGAAAAGGCAAUUAACUCUACCUCCUAUGCUGCCAAAAAAGAUAACAGGGGUAGUAUGUCAAGGGAAAUGUCUUCCAAGACAUUUUAUUCAAACUUAAAGUUUCUUUUCCUGUGUAACUAAUAACCCUGAAACUUAGUGGCUAAAAUAACAGCAAUUGUGGAUUAUAAGAGACAGUCUUGCUGUGUAUGGAUGGCUUUUACUGAUUUAUGUAAGAGUAGGGACAGGUAACUAUUAUACUGACAAAAAUAAGAUUAAAAAUAACCCUAAAGUAUGAACUGAGGCAUCAUGCGUGUCCAUCAGCGAAAUGUACUUGUGCUUAAAGAGAGUUUGACUGCUGUUGUUCACUUGAAUUUCUCCUGGUCAGUGGGUCCACCUGGCGCACAGAUGGGAGUUGGAGAAAAGUUAGGGUGUGGUCAAAAACCAGGGAGUUGCAAGAUGCUGGCCUUGGCCUCAGUGGCCUGAAUUAAUCCACAACUCAAUGCAUAUUCAAGGCAAAUUUUGGAGAGCAUUUUGGAGGGAGAGUAGCAAGGUCCUGGCUGCAACAGAAUUGGCAAUGGACUGUGGAGAGUGGAACAAAGGAAUGAAACGGGCGAGGAUUUCAAAGCUAACUGGCAGCAGAUUUGAGUCUGGACUUGGUAACUAACCUUGACUAAAUCACGUUAUUAAUAUAAUUUUGCCAAGACAAAGGGCAC
Molecule: long non-coding RNA, 6698 nt
Filed under: Sus scrofa (pig)
Lineage: Eukaryota; Metazoa; Chordata; Mammalia; Artiodactyla; Suidae
Description: lncRNA (ENSSSCG00040044088.1)
Source: RNAcentral